This 655-nucleotide ribosomal RNA is filed under the name Tripos fusus. RNAcentral's name for it is "partial Bacterial large subunit ribosomal RNA". It matches the Rfam family "Bacterial large subunit ribosomal RNA", at positions 505 to 1154 of the family's 2925-position model. The record is from RNAcentral. Lineage: Eukaryota; Dinophyceae; Gonyaulacales; Ceratiaceae.
GAGGGAAAGGUGAAAAGAACCCUAAGUAAGGGAGUGAAAGAGAACCUGAAACCGUACGCCUACAAGCGGUCGGAGCACAUUUACUGUGUGACGGCGUGCCUUUUGCAUAAUGAGCCUACGAGUUACUGUUACUAGCAAGGUUAAGAUUUUAAGGAUCGGAUCCGAAGCGAAAGCGAGUCUGAAUAGGGCGACGUAGUUAGUAGUAGUAGACGCGAAACCCGGUGAUCUACCCAUGAGCAGGUUGAAGUUCCAGUAACAUGGAAUGGAGGACCGAACCCGUUGACGUUGAAAAGUCUUGGGAUGACUUGUGGGUAGGGGUGAAAGGCCAAUCAAACCCGGAAAUAGCUCGUACUCCCCGAAAUGCAUUUAGGUGCAGCGUUCAGGUAGAGUAUUAUAGAGGUAGAGCUACUGAUAGGGCUAGGGGGCUUCACCGCCUACCAACCCCUGACAAACUCCGAAUGCUAUCAAAUAUACACGGCAGUGAGGGCAUGGGUGCUAAGGUCCAUGUCCGAAAGGGAAACAACCCAGACCAUCAGCUAAGGUCCCCAAAUAUAUGUUAAGUUGAAUAAACGAGGUUGAACUGCUUUGACAGCUAGGAUGUUGGCUUGGAAGCAGCCAUUCAUUUAAAGAGUGCGUAACAGCUCACUAGUCGAGC